GAUACCACCAGGUGGAUAAUCUCUUAAUGCAAAUAUAUGUUUAUUGGCAAAAGCUAAAACUGUUUUUUUGCCAAAUAACAAGGGAUACUUUCAAUUUGGCUUUCUCUCUUUCUUCUCAAUCAAGACACAUGUGGUUUAUCCCAUUUCUGACUGAGGAGAAGAAGCGGGAGUGCAGGGAGCAGAGAUGGUGUUGAAGCAUUUUUAAAAACAUUUUCUGAUUAGGAGGCAGACUGUAAAAUGUGCUCAUCUGAUUGGAUUCACUCAUCCUCUUAUCUCCCUUGUUCCAAAUGAUGGUGGACUGUAAUAAGACUGAAGAAAACUGCAUAAAGUUCUGUUAUGUUCCUCAGCUGUCAGGACAUUGUAGUCCUAUAUUCAGGGGAUGGAAUACUUUGGGUAUGUGAAAUGAGUGGUCCCGAGUUGAGGCUGGAGUGGCAGUUGGGAUCCCACUGGAGGCAGGUGGAAAAAGAAGAUGGAGGCCGCCAUGUGGCCCAGUCAGCUCAGCAGUAGGUCGUCAAGAUGUAUGAAGAAAGGAAUCAGCAGAUUAGAGGAGCUAUCUUCUUUUGGCUGGGAGUCCCUGAAAUUGUUGCACAAAAUCUGUCAUCUCUUAUUUGGCAGAGGAUUCAUGUUAAUUCCACCAUUUUAAUUUGGUAACACAGAGCAAAGGUUAAAUGAAGCAGAAACUUAACAGGUGUGCACAGAACUUCAAAGACAGCAGCAGCAUUUACAGCUUAGA
Non-coding RNA from Pogona vitticeps (central bearded dragon), 733 nucleotides. The record is from RefSeq and is a predicted model, not a curated record. Lineage: Eukaryota; Metazoa; Chordata; Lepidosauria; Squamata; Agamidae.